GACGAACGCUGGCGGCGUGCUUAACACAUGCAAGUCGAGCGGUAAGGCCCUUUCGGGGGUACACGAGCGGCGAACGGGUGAGUAACACGUGGGUGACCUGCCCUCAGCUCUGGGAUAAGCCUGGGAAACCGGGUCUAAUACUGGAUAUGACUCCAUGACGCAUGUUGUGGGGUGGAAAGCCUUGUGCGGCUGAGGAUGGGCCCGCGGCCUAUCAGCUUGUUGGUGGGGUGANGGCCUACCAAGGCGACGACGGGUAGCCGGCCUGAGAGGGCGACCGGCCACACUGGGACUGAGACACGGCCCAGACUCCUACGGGAGGCAGCAGUGGGGAAUCUUGCGCAAUGGGCGAAAGCCUGACGCAGCAACGCCGCGUGGGGAUGACGGUCUUCGG
RNAcentral lists this ribosomal RNA (391 nucleotides) under uncultured bacterium. Its description in RNAcentral is "bacterial SSU rRNA". It matches the Rfam family "Bacterial small subunit ribosomal RNA", at positions 28 to 421 of the family's 1533-position model. The record is from RNAcentral.